UACGUAGGGUGCGAGCGUUAAUCGGAAUUACUGGGCGUAAAGGGCGCGUAGGCGGCCACCGCAAGUCGGUUGUGAAAUCUCUGGGCUUAACCCAGAAAGGUCAACCGAUACUGCGGGGCUAGAGUGCAGAAGGGGCAACUGGAAUUCUCGGUGUAGCGGUGAAAUGCGUAGAUAUCGAGAGGAACACCUGCGGCGAAGGCGACUACCUGGCCUGUUCUUGACGCUGAGGCGCGAAAGCUAGGGGAGCAAACGGG
This 254-nucleotide ribosomal RNA is filed under the name uncultured bacterium. RNAcentral's name for it is "partial 16S ribosomal RNA". It matches the Rfam family "Bacterial small subunit ribosomal RNA", at positions 524 to 776 of the family's 1533-position model. The record is from RNAcentral.